AACGAACGCUGGCGGCAUGCCUAACACAUGCAAGUCGAACGAUGCCUCCGGGCAUAGUGGCGCACGGGUGCGUAACGCGUGGGAAUCUGCCCUUGGGUUCGGAAUAACUCGCCGAAAGGCGAGCUAAUACCGGAUGAUGACGUAAGUCCAAAGAUUUAUCGCCCAAGGAUGAGCCCGCGUAGGAUUAGCUAGUUGGUGGGGUAAAGGCCCACCAAGGCGACGAUCCUUAGCUGGUCUGAGAGGAUGAUCAGCCACACUGGGACUGAGACACGGCCCAGACUCCUACGGGAGGCAGCAGUGGGGAAUAUUGGACAAUGGGCGAAAGCCUGAUCCAGCAAUGCCGCGUGAGUGAUGAAGGCCUUAGGGUUGUAAAGCUCUUUUACCCGGGAUGAUAAUGACAGUACCGGGAGAAUAAGCUCCGGCGAACUCCGU
RNAcentral lists this ribosomal RNA (432 nucleotides) under uncultured bacterium. RNAcentral describes it as "partial 16S ribosomal RNA". It matches the Rfam family "Bacterial small subunit ribosomal RNA", at positions 29 to 506 of the family's 1533-position model. The record is from RNAcentral.